GGGAGUGGCAAGCGUUAUCCGGAAUUAUUGGGCGUAAAGCGUCCGCAGGCGGUUUUACAAGUCUGUCGUUAAANCGUGGAGCUCAACUCCAUUUCAGCGAUGGAAACUGUAAGACUCGAGUGUGGUAGGGGCAGAGGGAAUUCCCGGUGUAGCGGUGAAAUGCGUAGAUAUCGGGAAGAACACCAGUGGCGAAAGCGCUCUGCUGGGCCAUAACUGACGCUCAUGGACGAAAGCCAGGGGAGCGAAAGGGAUUAGAUACCCCUGUAGUCCUGGCCGUAAACGAUGAACACUAGGUGUCGGGGGAAUCGACCCCCUCGGUGUCGUAGCCAACGCGUUAAGUGUUCCGCCUGGGGAGUACGCACGCAAGUGUGA
Molecule: ribosomal RNA, 372 nt
Filed under: uncultured bacterium
Lineage: Bacteria
Description: bacterial SSU rRNA
Rfam family: Bacterial small subunit ribosomal RNA
Source: RNAcentral